This 444-nucleotide ribosomal RNA is filed under the name uncultured bacterium. Its description in RNAcentral is "bacterial SSU rRNA". It matches the Rfam family "Bacterial small subunit ribosomal RNA", at positions 354 to 796 of the family's 1533-position model. The record is from RNAcentral.
GUAGGGAAUAUUGGGCAAUGGUCGGAAGACUGACCCAGCCAUGCCGCGUGCAGGAAGACGGCCCUCUGGGUUGUAAACUGCUUUUAUCUGGGAAGAAAAAGGCCAUGCGUGGCAAAUUGCCGGUACCAGAUGAAUAAGCACCGGCUAACUCCGUGCCAGCAGCCGCGGUAAUACGGAGGGUGCGAGCGUUGUCCGGAUUUAUUGGGUUUAAAGGGUGCGUAGGCGGCUGAUUAAGUCAGCGGUGAAAGACUUCGGCUUAACCGGAGCAGUGCCGUUGAUACUGGUUGGCUUGAGUGUCGGAGGGGUACAUGGAAUUGAUGGUGUAGCGGUGAAAUGCAUAGAUACCAUCAGGAACACCGAUAGCGAAGGCAUUGUACUGGCCGACAACUGACGCUGAUGCACGAAAGUGUGGGGAUCGAACAGGAUUAGAUACCCGGGUAGUCC